This 23-nucleotide non-coding RNA is filed under the name Arabidopsis thaliana (thale cress). The record is from RNAcentral. Lineage: Eukaryota; Viridiplantae; Streptophyta; Magnoliopsida; Brassicales; Brassicaceae.
UCGUUGAUGAUGAUCAUUAGGUA